AAAAAGUGCAGCUAAUAUGGCUGUGUCUUGUGCACUUAGCAUGAACGUUGGAGUUUUACCAAGAGAACUUCUUUCACCUUUUCCACAAUCUCUCACUUCAACCUCAUUGAAAAGAAGGAGAACUCAUUUCACAGUUUCAGCAAAAUUAGGAGGAGGAGAGGGUGAUGUAAAGAAAGAUGAGAAGAAGAAAUUCAUUACUAAAGAACAAGAACCUGAACAGUAUUGGCAAUCAGCAGGAGAAAAAGCAGGGGAGAACCCUAUGAUGACACCACUUCCCUAUAUAAUCAUAUUUGGAAUGUCAACACCUUUUGUGAUCUUGGCAAUUGCUUUUGCAAACGGUUGGAUAAAGGUUCCAAUAAGAUGAUUAAAUUCUCAAAUGAAACAAGAAGCUUUUUGGAUGUCUCAUUCUGACCUUUUGUCUACAUUUGAGUUUUCUAAUGUAUAAGAGUAAUCUCAUUUCUAUACACA
This 468-nucleotide unclassified non-coding RNA is filed under the name Hevea brasiliensis (rubber tree). Lineage: Eukaryota; Viridiplantae; Streptophyta; Magnoliopsida; Malpighiales; Euphorbiaceae. The record is from RNAcentral.